This 68-nucleotide transfer RNA is filed under the name Urosaurus nigricauda. RNAcentral describes it as "tRNA-Arg". The record is from RNAcentral. Lineage: Eukaryota; Metazoa; Chordata; Lepidosauria; Squamata; Phrynosomatidae.
UGAGUAUUAGUCUAAUUAAGACAGUUAAUUUCGACUUAACAAAUUUGGCCUACUAGCCAAAUACUCAU